GGUCCCAAGGGUAUGGCUGUUCGCCAUUUAAAGUGGUACGCGAGCUGGGUUUAGAACGUCGUGAGACAGUUCGGUCCCUAUCUGCCGUGGGCGCUGGAGAACUGAGGGGGGCUGCUCCUAGUACGAGAGGACCGGAGUGGACGCAUCACUGGUGUUCGGGUUGUCAUGCCAAUGGCACUGCCCGGUAGCUAAAUGCGGAAGAGAUAAGUGCUGAAAGCAUCUAAGCACGAAACUUGCCCCGAGAUGAGUUCUCCCUGAGACUUAAAGUCUCCUGAAGGAACGUUGAAGACGACGACGUUGAUAGGCCGGGUGUGUAAGCGCAGCGAUGCGUUGAGCUAACCGGUACUAAUGAACCGUGAGGCUUAACCUUACAACGCCGAAG
Molecule: ribosomal RNA, 382 nt
Filed under: Salmonella enterica
Lineage: Bacteria; Pseudomonadati; Pseudomonadota; Gammaproteobacteria; Enterobacterales; Enterobacteriaceae
Description: bacterial LSU rRNA
Rfam family: Bacterial large subunit ribosomal RNA
Source: RNAcentral